CUACGAAAAUUGCAAACUCAGGAAAGCUAAUUACAUAUGAUCAUUGUGACGUUUACUUCUAUUUUUACCAAAGCAGAGCAUUGAGUUCUGUAUGUGCUUUGGUUAGUUUAGUUUGGGGGCCAGAGAUGGGAAAAUAAGACUUUUUGGGGAAAAAUCAGACUUCUGGCUCCAUCGCUGGGAAAUUAUUUUUUCCCAACACAGCUGUGCUAUUUGACUUCAUCUAGACCCAUCCUUUACACCCAGCAAAUCAGAUGGGUCAGAGCUAUCCAGGCUGGAACUAGAAACAUGGAGAACGAGGAGGAUUUUGGACUUUUCUAUGGAUGGUGUUACAGAUGGAACAUUUCCUGGAGAAGAGUUCCGGUCAAAGGUGGGAUUUGCUGUCUACAAAGAGCCACUAAGGCCAUAAGAAACAAGAGGCAGACAAAAGUUGGCUGAAGAGAUGCAUGGAGGUUGACUUCUGGGAUUCCUAUUGCCACCAGCUACGCAGAGACUGGUCAUUCCUGUAUGGACUACUUGUGGUAGAGGACAAGGCUGUACACUGGCUGUACUGAUCCCAUUAAAGAGCACAUGCACCUACUGAUUUGUCUUGUUAGCAGGCAUGUAUCUUGACUGUCAAUGAUGCUGAUAUUGACUGUCAAUAAUGUGGCCACCUGUGGAAAGCCGCAAUAACAUUCGCCACCACAAGAUGGCACUGGCUUCCACUGUGCCCCACGUGGAAAGCCGGGAUAACAUUCGCCAUUACAAGAUGGUGCUGGCUUCUGCCAUGCCAGCCUGACUUCCUUUCAGGAAGCUAGCUGUGUGAGCAUGUACAAGAGUGUGUUCGUGCCAGGUCUUUGCCCACUCUGGGGCAUGCCUAUGAAAUCAUGGGUAAGCGACCAAUCAGGUGUGGGCAUACCGUGCUAGGGUUUUAUAAACAGCGCCUUUCUGGGCCCCGGCUCUCUCCUCUUCAAGAUGUAAUAAACGCUUUGCUACAGAAGGAUCCUGGUGUCCGCGCACGUGUUCUUGCUGGCGGGACGAUAGCGCGGGACAUAUGGUGCUGAAACCCGGGAAAAAACGCCUCACCAUCGCCAGCAUCAAGGAGAGCCUCCGCUCGCAGAGAGGAUUCAGAACUGCCGUGUCUAGGGAAUUUGGUUUCAACACGCUGAUGGACUAGUCCAGGAAUUGAGACAAUCCAUCGUCCAUAUUAACUCCACUCGAGUAGAUGGUCACCGUGGAAGUGGAUGCUACAGGAGUGUGCCAGCUGCCAGAGGUGGUUGCUGAGACUUGCUGAUCCUGGUUGCAUGAAGAUUCAGCUCUUGUGGUUCGGGUCCCUGGAGUCAUUCCUCUGCCCUGAGGAAGAUGGAAGAUCCCCCCUCAUUUCCCUGGUGACUCUUGCUGCCUUGACUGGUGUUGUCAUCUUGCAGUCUGUAGCUUCACAGGAAUGCCAUCUGUGUGAAGCUGCUGUGGACUGGGGAACUCUGCCCUGGUUGUGCAGAUCUCAGACAUGGUUCCAUUGCCUGCUGGUUGUUCCAGAGAAGAAUGACUGAUCCUGAACUGUCCUGGGAAAGACCUUGGCAUUUUCGCUGCUAUUGUAGCAGCCAUUACUGCUACAGCCAUUGUGUCUGCAGUGUCUAGAGUUACCCUCCCCCAAUCUAUUGUUAGACAAGCACAGUGGGUAAACUUUCUGGAGUAGUUGCUAACAAUUGGGAAUUCUAAAGUUUAUUAUAGGAGCGGCUUGACUACGGCCCUUGGUGAUAACAGCUGAGGAGAACCAGAUGAGGUGCCCACUACUUAUCAGGAGUGGCUCUGUUUGGUGCAGCCCUAUGCUGUGGAUUAGUGUUCAUGCUAUGGUUGGUUUGCAAACUCAGAUCUCAACAAAAACAUGAAAAGGUCGUUAUCACUCAAGCACUUGUGGCCAUUGAACAAGGGGCCUCCCCUAGAAUUUGGUUAUCUAUGCUCAUGAAUUAGUCGGCAUCUGAGUUCUCUGCUCUUACACCCCAUGGAUUUGUGGAUCCAUUACACUGGGAUGAGAGAGACUCAAUGAUUCUUUGAUCAGCCCUUCUACAUCGCUGAGGUUUCCUCAUCGCACGCGAUAGGGUGAUCAUCAUUUCCCCACUAACUCAUUUUCUGGCUGGCAUCUUUUGUAGAGUUCGCCCUAGGUCAUUUAACAGUUACUGUCACACAGCACUGCGGUAUCCAGAGACGGGCAACUUUCCUCAUGCACAGACCAAUCUAAGACAUGGGGCCCGGUGGUGAUAGGGUUACCCUAUGACGGAUAAGGCUGUGACAUAGAGGUGACCACGUGAAGCAUAAACUGAAAUAAUAUUUCCUGAAAUAUUAGGCAAGGAUAUAUCAUAAGGCUUUAGAGGUCAGUAAAAACAAAUAUUUUCCAAUUAUAAGACCAUUAACAAUACAGUGGUCUUCUGUAAGAUCUUUACACUCAUAACUGCUUAAGCUAUCCUUCUAUUUUUGUAAAUUUAUGUGGAUUUGGGUUUGAUGUCCUUAAAUAUGUGUGUUGGCUGUGGAAAAAUACUUGCAUGUGUUGAUUGCAAUAGUUCAGCCUGUGUUUUGAAUUUGGAUAUAAUUGUAUAAGCCAUAGGAGCAAGCAGGGUGUUGAACACUGAACGGUUUCAGUCCAUGAUAAUGUGGACACUAACCUGGUGGUAUUCAGCAGCUACUACAGCAAGAUUGUCUGCAGCAAUAUCUUAUAACGAGCCAAGCUGGUGCAUCCCUGCAGGUUUAAGAAGACUUAUAGUUAAUGAACAAUAUAUUGAACGAUCUCAUUUAAUUCUCCCAGUAGAUCUGUGUAGUAAAUGUGUUUUCAUAGAAGUGUACGUGUGUGUGUGUGUGUGUGUGUUUGUGUGUGUGUGAGCAUGUGUUCUAAUUUUACAAACUGUCAAUUGAUUAUAAGUUUACAAAUGAGAAAGCUAAAAGUAACUUUUUUCAAGUAACGUUAAUAAUAGCAGAUUCAGUUUCAGCUAUGAUUUCAAAUCUCAUUUCCUUUCUAUCCACACAAGAGGAAAUGUAUAAAAAGGAAAAGGUUGCAUCUGCAUAGCCAAAAAUAAUCAUGCAAUUUGACCAGAUUCAAAAGAAAUGUAUAUUAUAGGGAAUGGAGGCAAGACAUUUCUGAGAAUAGGAGCUUAUUAUCAACUAUACUUCUGUAAUUAUGUAUAUAUACACACAAAGAGGCAUGCAUGAGCUUACACUCUCAAUGUGCUCUUCUCUAAAAUUUCUUGUUCAUAGAAAAUCAUUUAAAGGCUGUAACAUAGCCUAAACUAACUGGAUUUCUAACAGUCCUUGUGGUUUAGGAUGACCUUGAAGUUAUUUUUACGCUGACCUCCAGAGUACUAUGAUACUUGGUACCACACCCAAUAUAUGUGGGGCAAAGAUCAAAGUCAAUGCAGAGAAUCCCUCCACCAACUGGAUCUAUAUCUCCAGUCCCAAGCCUUGUUUGUAACUGAUAACCAAGAAUUCUUAUCAGUUCAAUAGAAAAAAAAAAAGCCCAGAUUAUUGCAUAGUUUGUACACUCUGUAACUAAAAUGAUGCUACCUUCAAAGACUCAUCCUUUGAAUUAUCUAAUUACAUGAACUAAAGUAACCCUGUUGAGCAAUGAAAGAACUUGACUUCUGUACACACCAAAAGUAUCACAGCUAUCUGCUGAAGGCAUAUGGAACUUCAACUGUGAGGGAGUGGAAAGAAAACUAGCUUGAUAGUUGGACAGAGGAAUCCUUGUCUCAAUUGAAUUCAUGCUACUGUGCUGCAGUCAGGCAUGUCGCUGUUCUGACCCAGACAAAUGGGGCCAUAAGAGAGCUACUCUAUGGCGCAGUUAGCUUCCUGCCCUUCCUGCUAGACUGUAAUCAAUAGGUGUUAUGGUUUCUUUUAUGUCCAGUAACUCCCAGAAUUGCUUUGUUUUUUGUUUCUUUUAACUGUAAGACACUAAACUAUUUCAUCACAGUCUGCUAAAAUGGAUUAAGCCUCACUGCUAUUCUGUAGUGAUAAUCCUUGCUCUGCACACCUUACACCCUACUCUGCAGUGCAGCAUUGCAUCGCCAGCAUUUAGGGGGAAAUGUGCCAUAAGGCAUCACACAAAUGGACUGACCUGCAGUCAUCACAAUUGCUGAUGUAAGUUAUAUAGACUAAUUCUGAUUCUAAGGAACUAAAGAGCAACACAGCCCUCCCAAGAUGACCAACUAUAGAGACACUACCUGAUCCAGCAUAUGGAUGUUGAAACCUUACAGGCCUCAACUGUUUCCUUGCAGUGAAGCCACGUCUGAAGUUAUUGUCAAUUUAUUUGCUUUCACCUCUAGGCAUCAAAAUAGACUCAUAAAUAUGGAAAGUCAUUGUUCCUGUCUUAAAGUAGUGAUUUUAGAGGGCUUAAUUCUUUCAUUCACAGCCCCAGUUAACAUUCAGAAAUACAUUGCAACUACAGAAAGAGUGUUUUCUAUUGUUUCUGGAAGGCAGAUCACAUGGAAUGAGCUGACUGGUCACUGUCACAGAACAUUUUAGAUUAAAAGCCAAGGAAUGGCAUAGGUAGUUCAUUUUCCAGUCUCUGCCUUGGAUCCUCUUCAGAGCAUCCUAGACUUGGCAAGCAGCUGGUAGAACUGGCUCGUGUGACACAGCCCUCACAACCAUUGCAUAUUUGACUUCAGACUAGUGAAUUGUGGCUGAAGUGCUUUAUUCAUGUUCUUAAUCAUCCAUGUUUCUGUUUGUUGCCUUGGUUUACAUCAAGGGAAGUGUACAAGAUGGAUGAGAAGUCAAUGAGGGAAUAUGUUCUUACAUCCCUGAGAGCAUGGGGCUACAUGAGCUCUUAGCAGGACCACUGGCAUGUGGAAAUACUCCUCGAAAUUUCCCCUUUUUAUACAGCCAUGCGGAAACUGAAUUGUUUACUAUCAUUAAUUUUGUAGAAAUUGUAGGUCAUAUAAAACUGUAUCACAUGAAUUAGAGUACCAAAACAAAACAAAAAAAUGCUAUGCUAAAAAUAGCAUCUAAAGAAAGCCUCAGGAUUGUAGAUUCUGAAUUCUCAGCUUAUCUUCAAGUUCUGCAGUUUGUUUGCUUGAUUUUUUUAACCAUAAAUUUAUUACCUGAUGCUUGCAAACACCAUAUAUACCUCUUUCCUCUCUCUGGGCUCUGGUGGUCUCUAUAACAAAGAUAGUGUCUUGUUUAAUCCCACUCCACAUAUCCUAGCAUGCCCAUUAUGGCAUUUGGCAUGCAUAUAAAAUUAAAAUUCCGUUACUAUUGUUUUGAAAUAUACAAAAUGUUGCAUCUGUAUGUGUUAUAUUAAAUGUAGCCAUUGUUUGGUGUGUGAUGUAGAUUUAACAUGUGAUAUCUUCCCUAUUGAUGCAUUACUUCAAUUUUUAAAAAGGUUUUUGUUUUCUGGGAACACCUGUAAAAGAUUUUAUUUGACGACAUUAACUUGUAAGGGAAGUAGAACAUUAUUACCACUGAUGUGAAGGAAAAUUUGAAUAGCAGACAAAUAGACAUGCAAUCAGGAAUGCUAAUAUUAAUAUGCUACAUCAGGCAAAAUCAAAUUCUAUUUUUAUAAGACAAGUAUAAAAUCAAUAUUCUUAAGGAGAAGUGAAUUUUUACUAAGAUAGAGAACAUUCUUCAAUAUGAAUAAGUAUAUUAUAUACUUAUAUAAUAUGAUUAUAAGUAUAUUAUAUAAUAAUGUAUCAUAUAUAUGAAUGAAAUUAUUAUUUAUUAGAGUGACUUACAGGAUAUGGUAUUAGUAAUUCAGCACUAACUGUAUCCUGACAGAAAGCGCAAGGAUAUUGGGGUUGUUCAGUCUAUGGGACUAAAUGUCUCAGUGGUCCCAAUCUUGUUCUGAAGUACCAGCAAAGUCCUAGUGAGUUUCAAGUUAAUUCUGUGUUGGAAUCCUGAUAGGAUCUUACACCAGGGAAGGAGUGACUCAGGAUCAGGAUAGGGGAACUUGGGGCAAGCAGUUGAAAAGCAAAAUCUUCCUUUUUCUUUCUUUUUCUUUUUUUUUCAUUUUUAUUCCAUCUUUAUUAAAUUGGGUAUUUCUUAUUUACAUUUCAAAUGUUAUUCCCUUUCCAGGUUUCCAGACCAACAUCCCCCUAACCCCUCCCUCUCCCCUUCUGUAUGGGUGUUCCCCUCCCCAUCCUCCCCCCCAUUAUUGCCUUCCCCCGAACAAUCCUGUUCACUGAGGGUCCAGCCUUGGCAGGACCAAGGGGUUCCCCUUCCACUGGUGAUCUUACUAGGAUAUUCAUUGCUACCUAUGCAGUUGGAGCCCAGGGUCAGUCCAUGUAUAGUCUUUGGGUAGUGGCUUAGUCCCUGGAAGCUCUGGUUGGUUGGCAUUGUUGUUCAUGUGGGGUCUCAAGUCCCUUCAACUCUUUUAGUCCUUUCUCUGAUUCCUUCAACGGGGGUCCUGUUCUCAGUUCAGUGGUUUGCUGCUGGCAUUCGCCUAUGUAUUUGCUGUAUUCUGGCUGUGUCUCCUAGGAGAGAUCUACAUCUGGUUCCUGUCAGCCUGCACUUCUUUGCUUCAUCCAUCUUAUCUAGUUUGGUGGCUGUAUAUGUAUGAACCACAUGUGAGGCAGGCUCUGAAUGGCCAUUAAUCUUCCUUUUUCUAUGUACUUUUAUGUGGCCAGAAGAUGUGGCCCAGAUUUGGGGUGGGUAUUCGAACUUCAGAUGAUCCAGAUUUAAAGUGAGUCUUUCACCUCAAAUAAUCCAACAAAGAAAAACUCCUCACAAGUGUGUGCCCAAGUACCUGGAUUUUAGUUAAUGCAAGGUAAAGUCAAGAUGACAACCAAAAUAAACCAUCAGAAUGAGGAUAUAGAUACAAGACGUCUGCUGUGGCUGCAGGAAGAAGGGAAACUACUGGAGAUAGAGCCCAGUCUCAGAUGGAGUACAAGUCCAAAGGCCUAUUUAUUGAUGAUGAUUGCAAGGCUGGAGAAAGAGGACAAUAAGUCAUUAUGGCUCACCCAUCACAAAGCAUUUCUUCUUAUGUUAGGAAGCCAGGGGAUAAGCAUUCUGAUUCUGGGUUGGUAUUUCAGCAUAAUAUUCACCCCUGAUGGAAGUGAAAUGAUAUGUAAUACAUACACAAAAUGCACAUGUAUGCUUAUCUAUACAUUCAUAUAGUAGCAUAUUUAGAUAUCUAUAUAGUUAAUUGUAAAGCUGUCAAUAUUUCCAAAAUAUUAAAGUGAAACAAACACAAAUAUAAUUUAUUUUUCCUUAGGAAUUUAUUUAAAUAUGUAUAUAAACUAUCCAUAAACAUUGACACAUUUAGUCCUAGUGGCACACCCACAUUCUGUUUGUGUGUGUAUGUGUAUAUAUUCCUUUGCAUAUUGUACAACUUUAUUGUGUGAUAAUUCUUGAGACUUAUUUUGGGCUGUGUCUAUUUGUUGACCAUCAACUUUUAAGUGGAUUGUUAGCAACACUUCUCUGCGAGUGGGACAAUCCAAUGCAGAAUGCAACAGUCAAGUUUGUAAAGUUUCAGUGGAUAAUUGAGCUAAAUCCAGUGGCUGUCCAUUUCCUUCCCUUCUACAUUGUGUAUGAUGAAAAGUAGUUUUUGUGUGCCAUGGGAACCAGAGCAGCAUCAAAGUUCCACUUGCCCCUCAUUGGCAGGAGGACUGAACUGAAGGACUGGGUAACUGGGUGUGGUGGGAAUGCUCCUCCAGGUACUAUCAUGGUGUGACCUUCUCAGUCAGUGUUGGCAGCUAAAAUAACUAUUCAUAAGAGACUAUUCAGAUCUUAAUUAUAACUCCCAAAAAUGUAGUAAUAAACCCACCCACUUUUUAACAACUUGAAUUCCAUCAGAACUUUGUGUUGAAACAAUCUACUAGUGCUAUUUAACUGAAAAAUACAAACCAUAAUGCAGGAGAUGAUAGAGGGGCAUGGUCUUCAGACGAUAGUUCUGGACUCAGUCCAAGUGUUGUUCUUUGGUACUUUAAGGUAUAUGAAGGACUAUUACCGAAGUUAGAAUUAAAGCCUGAACCUGGUCACUCUUCAGAAACCAACUUCAGUAGCCAAUUAAACAUAUAAUAGCUAAAAGCAGAAAAUUCAUUAAAAUCUUCUUCUCCACAAGUUUUUCUUCAGGAUCCUAACAUGAGGCUUAGACUUUUAAGGAUUUAUUUUUGUGUUUAAUUAAAUGGGUAUAUGUAUGAGUAGUGGGGGAUGUGCAUGAGUCAAUUGCCCUUGAAGAAGGUGUCAUGUCCUCUGGAAUUAGAGAUUCGGGAGACUGCAGACCCCUACUCCAGAUGGGUGCUACAACUAAACUCAGGUCUUCUGCCAGAGCUGUAAAUGCUCUUAAGCCCUGAGUCAUCACCAGCCUGAAGUUUGGCUUUGAAUAGGGGGCCAGAAGCAUGCAUAGGAAACCAAUCCUUAUGAAAGUAUGGUACCACACAUCCCCAUCAUGAGACUCUCCAAUAACAUUGUCGAACAAGAGAUCAGAAAUGUAUGGAAUCUCACUCCAGGAUUUAAAUCCUCCUUCUCGUUGGUCCAAGAACUUCAGUCUCUACUCCUUCCAGCAAGUGAUUUCUGUAGAUAUCCCAGUAUCUUAAGGUUCAUUAUUCCACUAGUCUGAUAGCCAAUAGGACUAUACAAAAGUCUCAUUGGAAUAUCCUCAUUCCUGCCAAGAUAGUUACAGGACUGUUGUUUUAAAAGAACCAGAUGCACCUUUAUUCUGCUUAAUACAGAAGACAACAUUCUAGUCAUCAGAGCUGCCUAAGAUGGACUCCAAUGUAGGAGGAGAAGCUUCAUUUUAGAUGAACCGUGGUUGCUCUUUGGAACCAUUUAUACAGGAAUUAGGUGGGUAUUCAUGGAAUUCCAUAACUCUCUUGUGUUACUCAAGGACCUGUGCCUUCUACAACUCUUGUUCCAGAAUUUCUCAUAUGUAGGCUGUGAGUGGGAAAAUAACAAAAACCUAAAAGCUAAUUUCUCACCUAUAAUUUCUUUCUCAAUUUAUUCACCUUAAUGUCUGCCUGCUGAGAGCAGCACUUUUACAAGACAAGGAAAAAGCAUUUCCAUCAUCGUGUUUUCUUCUCUAAUCUAUUUAUUUAGCCUCCCUUUGGUGAACAACGUUGUGGUUUUUUUUUUUUUUUUAGUUUUUCAAUAUUCAGUCUAUUUCAUCUCAGUGUGUUUCACAGUGUACUAACCAUUAUUCUUUAACUAACUAUUAAAUUAGCUCAAAUCCCCGGGUUUUGUUAAAUGGAAGAUUGAUCAAUAUUUUUAUUGGAAAGCUAUAUUUUUUAAACUUCAAUAACCUUCCAAGUGUUCAGGUUUAAAGCUUUUGAGAUUUUUAGUAAAUAUGAGGGUUCCCUUCAUUCUUACCACAGCUUAGAGUUUUACUCAUUACACUUUGAAACUGCAUAAUUGUGCAAUUAAUCUCAAGGAUGUUGGAAUGCAUAUUUUUAAAAGUAAUUUUCUUAGGGAAAUAAUACAUAUCUCAUUACUUUUUACUGUAAUUGGUAUUCAUGGUCCCUUAGUUUAUAGGUUUAAACUCCUGCCAGGGAUGGCCAAUCUCAAGGCCAUAUAUUAUUAAAAUGGAUUAAUUUUUCAAACACAUAUUCCGUUCAAUUUCUCAUUAAACGAGGCAUUGUAAAUUCUGCUGUCAGAGCAUACAAAUAACAUGAUUAUGCAAUACUUGAAUUAUUCAAAGUCUUCUCAGCUGGAAUGGGUACUAGACCUAGACACUGGGUUCAUUCAUUAUGGAAGAGAAUUUUAAGACAUAGAUGUCCAAACUAACAAUUCCAAUUUUCUGUCUAUUGCUGUAACUAAUGCCAUGGACCACAAGCAAUUUAUGGAAGAUGUGAUUUAUUUGGUUUAUAUUUCCAGGUCACAGUCCAUCAUUGAGAGAAUCAGGGACAGAAACUCCAGCAAGAACUUGAAGUAGAAAUCAUGAAAGGAUGUUACGUAUUAGUUCUCUCACUGAUAGGUUCCUAUGUAGCUAGAUCUCCUAUAUAGUCCAGAACCAUCUGUCUAGAGAAGUUACCAACCAGGACUGCCUCAUUCUUCUGGAUCAAACUGAUAAAUACAGCCACACACAAAUACACCCACAGACCAAUCUGAUAAGGACAAUAACUCCAUUGAGACACCUUGUCAGGUGAUUCCUGGCUGGGUCUGCUGACAGACAAUACUAGCUGAAUACUGACCAAGGAUCUCUUGAGAUUCACCUUAAUUUCCUAACAACAAGGAAUCCAGGAAAUUCAAAGAGAAGCCUACCGUGAAGGAAAUAAACAAAAUUAAAUUCCAUCAGAUUAAGACUGGAAAGUCUUAAAAAAAAAGAAGGAGGAAGAAUUGGGUUUAGACUUGGCUAGAUUAUUUGGUCAUUAGUGCAGAAUAUAAAUUCAAAGGUGAUAGAGGCAUGCUAGGAAGAAUUUCAAUGUAUAGUAUGGCAUGUUGCAGUCACUGUGGAACUUGGGGAUAAGCAAAUGAUUCAGAGGGACCAAGUCAGCACUUAAAUUUUUAUUUUUAAUUAUACUUAAUUUUUUUACAGAACUAUUUGGUUUAUGACAAAAUAUAGUCAAAAUAAUGUGGAGUUCCUUUUUCCCCCUUUCAAAGCCUCCCAAUUUUCUUCACAUUCCACACAUUGUAGAAUGGAGGAAUCGACAGUACCAAAUUGGCAUUUAAACUUUAUAGUUCAUACUAGGGUUUCCUUGUGGACAAGCAUACAAUAUAUAUCAACCACGGUCAUAUAAUAGUGGUCACUGUCCCCCAAGUCCUUGAUGCUCUGCCUAUUCAUCCUUCCUUCACUCUUAAUCAUUGGCCACCAUUUUUAAUGUCCAUGUGUUUUUGUUGGAGAAUGUUAGUUGUAAUCAGAUGACUGUAACCCAUUUAUGAUUAGCUUCUUUCAUUUAGUAGUAUCAAUUUGUUGUUUCACUGUAUUUUUUGUGGCUUGAUAACUCAUUUGUUUCAGUGCUGUGUAAUUUUUCAUUGUCUGAUAUGAUGGAUCUUUUCACAUUUUAUAUGUUAUGAAUAAAACAACGAAAAUGUG
Rattus norvegicus (Norway rat) is the source of this 10924-nucleotide non-coding RNA. Lineage: Eukaryota; Metazoa; Chordata; Mammalia; Rodentia; Muridae. The record is from RefSeq and is a predicted model, not a curated record.